AAAAAAAAAACUACCAAGAGGCCCAGAGUUUGGAGAGAUACAAAAGUAUUGUAUUAGUCAGUAGAGGGAGAGAUAGAUCAGAGAGAGAGAGAGAGAGAGAGAGAGAUCAGAGAGAGAGAGACAGAGAGGGAGAGAUAGAGAGAUCAGAGAGAGAGAGACAGAGAGGGAGAGAUAGAUCAGAGAAAGAGAGAGAAAGAGAGGGAGAGAUAGAGAGAUCAGAGAGAGAGACAGAGAGGGAGAGAUAGAUCAGAGAGAAAGACAGAGAGGGGGGAGAGAUAGAGAGAUCAGAGAGAGGGAGAGAUAGAGAGAUCAGAGAGAGAGAGAGACAGAGAGGGAGAGAUCAGAGAGAGAGAGAGAGAUCAGAGAGAAAGAGACAGAGAGGGAGAGAUAGAUCAGAGAGAGAGGGGGGAGAGAUAGAGAGAUCAGAGAG
RNAcentral lists this long non-coding RNA (430 nucleotides) under Lynx pardinus (Iberian lynx). Lineage: Eukaryota; Metazoa; Chordata; Mammalia; Carnivora; Felidae. The record is from RNAcentral.